This 1064-nucleotide long non-coding RNA is filed under the name Homo sapiens (human). Its description in RNAcentral is "HSALNT0294945". The record is from RNAcentral. Lineage: Eukaryota; Metazoa; Chordata; Mammalia; Primates; Hominidae.
CGGCUCCCCUCCCCCAACACCGUUCGGAAUCCUUGGGUCAACCGCCUCCGUCUCCACAGCAACGGAGUUUCAGAGCGCGCGGCAGCUUGGGGGCGGGGUUCCCAGUCCCCCGGUCAAAUUUUAGGACUUUUCAGCAGGAAAGCUGCACAACUGGAGGAGGGCAGGACGAGGCUGGCCUCGCAGGUCGGGCUACGUUCUUCUACGGUCUGAGGCGUUGUCUAGAAACUCAAAAUCUCUGGAAUCCCAUCCAGGACUCCUCCAUCAAGAUUUCUUCCGAUCCUGAGUAACCAAGAUUGGAAUACUGACCCCUUCAGGAGGCAGCCCAUGCCGUUUUUUCCCAACCGCUCUAAUCUGCCCCAAAUGCUUCCUUAUAUGAAUCCAAAUUUGUCUCUCCUUGACCUCUACCCUCUGCACUGUUUCAGCCUCCGCCUCUGGGGCCUUACUAAACAAGUCCAAUCACCCUUCCACGUGACCCCUUAUCUAACUGUAGGUGGGAUUAAUGUACUUAUCUGCCCAAACAGCUCCAGUCCUUUAAACUGCCUUUUAUUGAUUGGAGCCCACCCAGGAUACUACAUUACAUUCAGAUGUCAUGUCUCCUUAGGCUCCUGCAGACUGACAAUUUCUCAAACUUUGUUUUUGAUGACUUUGACAAUUUUGAGGUGGUAUGAUAAUUUGUGAAGUGUUUCUCAUGCUUAGCCUGGAGUUACAAGGUUGGAGAAAAAGACCAAAGAUGUGAAGUGCCAUUCUCAUCACAUCAUGUCAAGGGUACAUGCUGUUAACAUGAAUUAACAUCGAUGAUGUUAACCUUGAUGUCCUGGCUGAGAUGAACUCUCUUGGAUAGAAGGAUUCAAACAGAAAAAUGCAAAAAGAAGUCAGAUGGAAAACUCUGGAAAAUCCAAGAAGGGAGCUAGUUGAUGAUGAGCAAAGCCACAUGUGCUGUCUUGACAGCCAUAGAGAAGAAUGGAGGCCUCCAUACCUGAGUGGAAAGAGAAGAACAUGGGCAAUGAUUUUGUCUCUACAAAACAACAACAACAACAGACAAACAAAAUUAGCUGAGUGUGGUG